This is an RNA transcript of Fragaria vesca subsp. vesca, 3441 nucleotides long. RefSeq lists it as uncharacterized. Lineage: Eukaryota; Viridiplantae; Streptophyta; Magnoliopsida; Rosales; Rosaceae. The transcript is spliced from 8 exons. The record is from RefSeq and is a predicted model, not a curated record.
AUGAGGUAUCCUUUAUCUGAGCUUAAACCGUGCUAUUCUAUUGAUAUUGUUGACUCUCUUGCGCAAGAACUCCUAAAUUCAAUGAUUGAUGAUAAAUUGGAGUACACCAUUGCUCAAGGAGUGGGAUACAAUGCUGAUGGUACUUAUGUGUCGAAGGCAGAAUUAGAGGAAAUAUGGGAUGAUGUUGUGCUUGAAACCGUUGCUGCUCUUGAAGGCCUACCAAGUAGUUCUAAUCUCAUAUUGUCUCUUCCCAUUUCCACUAACAAAUUGUUACCAUCUGUAGAGCAGCCACCCAAGUUAGAAUUGAAAGCAUUACCUGAUCACUUGAAGUAUGUGUACUUGGGAGCGAAUGCGACUUUGCCAGCAAUUGUGUCCUCCAAGCUAGAUGAGGAACAAGAAAAGAGAUUGGUGGAGGUAUUGAAGAAGUACAAGACUGCUAUUGGAUGGACUUUAGCAGACAUCAAGGGAAUAAGCCCAACCAAAUGUGUCCAUCGAAUUUUGCUGGAAGAUGGAGCAAAACCCACUAGAGAAGCCCAAAGACGUCUUCACCAACCAAUGAUGAAGGUGGUUCAAGAUGAAGUCAUCAAGUUGCUGGAUUGUGGGGUGAUCUAUCCCAUAUCCGAUAGUAAGUGGGUCUCUCCUGUUCAAGUGGUUCCAAAGAAAUCUGGAGUGACGGUUGUGCAGAAUGCUGAGAAUGAGCUAGUGCCCCAACGAGUUGUGACUGGACAUAGAGUCUGCAUUGACUAUAGAAAGCUCAACGCCACCACAAGAAAGGACCAUUUCCCCCUACCAUUCAUUGAUCAAAUGCUUGAGAGGUUAGCUGGUCACGAAUUUUAUUGCUUCUUGGACGGAUAUAGUGGUUACAAUCAGAUCUGCAUAGCCCAAGAAGACCAAGAGAAGACUACAUUCACAUGUCCUUUUGGCACUUUUGCCUAUCGGCGCAUGCCCUUCGGUUUGUGCAAUGCACCAGGUACGUUUCAAAGAUGCAUGAUGUCUAUUUUCUCUGAUUAUAUUGAAAAUAUAACUGAGGUCUUUAUGGAUGACUUUAGUGUCUUUGGUAAGGACUUUGAUUCAUGCGUGACGAAGUUGGUUUCCGGGUUUGAAAAGAUUGAUAAAUCUAAGAUAGAUCUUGUGCGUCACUUACCCAUCCCCACAAGUGUGAGGGAUGUUCGAAGCUUUCUUGGACAUGCAGGUUUUAAUCGUCGAUUUAUCAAAGAUUUCUCUAAGAUAGCUCGACCCCUGAGUUCUUUGUUGCAAAAAGAUGUGCCCUUCCACUUUGAUGCCGAGUGCAAGGAAGCUUUUAAGCGGUUAAAGACCAUGUUGACAUCGGCACCGAUCAUGGCGCCACCGGAUUGGUCCUUGCCCUUCGAGUUGAUGUGUGACGCCUCAGACUAUGCCGUGGGGGCUGUGCUCGGACAGAGAAAAGAACAGCAGCCGUAUGCCAUAUAUUAUGCCUCUCAGACGCUCAAUGAUGCGCAACAGAACUACACCACCACCGAGAAAGAACUUCUUGCCGUGAUCUUUGCUUUGGAUAAGUUUCGUUCUUACUUACUCCAAUCUAAAGUUAUUGUUUACACUGACCAUGCGGCUUUGAAGUAUUUGUUGACGAAGAAGAAUGCCAAGCCGAGAUUGAUAAGGUGGAUAUUGCUUCUCCAAGAGUUCGAUUUGGAAAUCAAAGACAAGAAGGGGUCGAACAAUGUUGUUGCCGACCACCUUAGCCGGUUGGUACGUGACUCGGAUCCCGUGGCCAUCCAAGAGUGCUUCCCGAACGAGCAACUUUUCAAGGUAAGUGAGGUAAGUGAGCCUUGGUAUGCAGAUAUCGUGAAUUACCUUGUGACAAAGCAAUUUCCGAAUUCUAUGUCCUACCAUGCUAGAAAUAGACUUAAGACAUUAGCUAGACAUUAUGUGUAGGAUGAACCUUAUUUAUGGAAGCAUAGUGUUGAUCAAGUUAUUAGGAGGUGUGUCCCGGAGAAUGAGUCAUGUGAUAGAUGUCAAAGGACAGGGAAUUUAGGACCUAGGGAUGAGAUGCCUAUGCAACCUAUUAUACAUGUUGAAAUAUUUGAUUGUUGGGGUAUUGAUUUCAUGGGGCCUUUUCCGAAUUCUCAAAGAAAUUUAUACAUUCUCGUAUGUGUGGAUUAUGUUUCUAAAUGGGUGGAAGCAAAAGCCACCCGGACUAAUGAUUCUCGAGUUGUUGCAGAUUUCCUACGCUCUAAUAUUUUCUCCAGGUUUGGAAUGCCGAAAUUUGUAAUAAGUGAUGGAGGUUCCCACUUUUGCAAUCGAACAAUUGAAGCUCUAAUGAAGCAGUAUGGAAUCAAGCAUAAGGUUGCUACACCUUAUCACCCCCAGACAAGUGGGCAAGUGGAGCUUAGUAACCGAGAGAUCAAGCGGAUAUUGGAGAAGAGUGUGAAGCCGUCACGUAAGGAUUUGAGCCAACGACUUGAUGAUGCACUAUGGGCAUAUCGAACUGCAUUCAAAAAUCCCUUGGGGAUGUCACCGUUUCGUAUGGUGUACGGCAAAGCUUGUCACUUGCCUGUGGAGUUGGAACAUCGAGCUUGGUGGGCGGUUCAGGCUUUUAAUAUGGAUAUUGAUGAGGCCGGAUUACACAGGAAGUUGCAGUUAUGUGAACUUGAAGAAAUCAGGAAUGAGGCUUAUGAUUCUGCCGUGAUCUAUAAAGAGAAAACCAAGGCGUUCCAUGACAGGAUGAUUCGAAAGAAAGACUUUGUUAUCGGCCAGAAAGUUCUCUUAUUUAAUUCUAGACUUAGGUUGUUUCCAGGCAAGCUACGUUCUAGGUGGAUAGGACCUUUUGUUAUCACUAAUGUCUUUCCUUCUGGUGCAGUCAUGAUUAGGAGCAUGGUCAAAGGAGCUGAAUUUCAGGUAUCAUUUCCUAGCUUGGAGACGUUAAGGCUCCGUAAGCUACCUAAGUUGAAGGCAGUAUGGCAAAACCAACUUGCUCCAGACUCUUUUUGCCGGCUUAGAAAUGUCACUGUGAUGAAGUGCGUCAGCCUAAUUAAUCUAUUUGUGCCUUGUAUUUCCGAAAGAUUGGAUUCUCUAGAGGCCUUGUAUGUGGAGUGCUGCCCGUUACUAGAAGUGACGGAAGUGAGGCAGAAAACAGUGUCAAAAUUUGUGUUCCCAAAAGUAACAGAGUUGACAUUCUCACACCUGCCCAACUUGAAGAGCAUCUAUCCCGGGAAGCAUGUUUCACAGUGGCCUUCACUCCAAGAUUUGGAAGUGGAUGAAUGUGGUGAAGUAGAGAUUGUAGCUGGGGAGCUUUCACUUUGUCGAGAAAACCAAGAGUUUGACUCUCACUCUAUUCAGAUUAAACAACCUCUCAUUUUAUUUGAAAAGGGUUCACCAAUGUUUCCCCACUUGGAAGCUUUGGAAUUGGGGGCCAUAGAGAUGUGGAGUGGUCCAUUACUACCCCCAGUGUUUGUUGUAGCAUAG